CCUACGGGGGGCAGCAGUGGGGGAUAUUGCACAAUGGGGGAAACCCUGAUGCAGCGACGCCGCGUGAGUGAAGAAGUAUUUCGGUAUGUAAAGCUCUAUCAGCAGGGAAGAAAAUGACAGUACCUGACCAAGAAGCCCCGGCUAACUACGUGCCAGCAGCCGCGGGAAUACGUAGGGGGCAAGCGUUAUCCGGAUUUACUGGGUGUAAAGGGAGCGUAGACGGUUAUGUAAGUCUGGAGUGAAAGCCCGGGGGCCCACCCCGGGAGUGCUUUUGAAACUGUGUAACUGGAGUACAGGAGGGGCAGGCGGAAUUCGUGGUGUAGCGGUGAAAUGCGUAGAUAUCAGGAAGAACACCGGCGGCGAAGGCAGCCUGCUGGACUGAAACUGACGUUGAGGCUCGAAAGCGUGGGGAGCAAACAGGAUUAGAUACCCUAGUAGUC
This 440-nucleotide ribosomal RNA is filed under the name uncultured bacterium. Its description in RNAcentral is "partial 16S ribosomal RNA". It matches the Rfam family "Bacterial small subunit ribosomal RNA", at positions 338 to 795 of the family's 1533-position model. The record is from RNAcentral.